GACGGUGGCGGUGAAGGGCAAUGAUCGAAAGAAAAGAGGAGGAGACGAGAACCUUGGACAGUAGUGUGGAAAUGGUAAAGCUAUAGCUUGCGGUGGAGGAAUUUUAGAUGGUGGUUGAAGGUGGUGGUUGUUUGUUAAAAAGGAGAGAAAAUGAAAAAGGAAUAAAUGAAAAAAAAUGAGAAUAUUGUAGCAAAUGAGUAGUAUGGAAGGCAAGGAGGUGGGGUAAGCUUGGUCAACUGUGACCAGGUUCAGUGAACCACAGAAAAAGGUAAUAUAUGAUGUUUUGGCAAGGGAGGGAGACAUGGAAUGAAAAGGGGGUCAUGUUACCCCCAACAUAUGGUAAGUUUGACUCAUA
Molecule: long non-coding RNA, 355 nt
Filed under: Gossypium raimondii (Peruvian cotton)
Lineage: Eukaryota; Viridiplantae; Streptophyta; Magnoliopsida; Malvales; Malvaceae
Description: long non-coding RNA (GRAI_LNC009985)
Source: RNAcentral